UCCCAUUUAGCUCCCCCUGAAGGCCUCCCAGUGACUCCCAGUGACUCCCAGUUGACUCCCAGUGACUCCCAGUGGCCACCCAGUGCCGCCCAGUUCCCCCUGAAGGCCUCCCAGUGACUCCCAGUGACUCCCAGUGUGCCCCAGAGGCCUCCAGGAUCCCCC
Long non-coding RNA from Oxyura jamaicensis (ruddy duck), 162 nucleotides. RefSeq lists it as uncharacterized. Lineage: Eukaryota; Metazoa; Chordata; Aves; Anseriformes; Anatidae. The record is from RefSeq and is a predicted model, not a curated record. The transcript has 3 exons.